AAGAAAGAAAAGAAAGGACAAAAAGAAGAAAAGGAGAAGAAAAUUUCAUUUUCUCUUUUCUUAUUCUUCUUCUCUUCCCUUCACCGCCAAGAGUUUGAAGACAUCCAAGUUCCCUUUAUUUUUUUUUUUUUUCUUUUUCCUUCUUCAAUUUGCAGAGAACUUCUAAGAGAGAGUUUGGAAGAAGAAGAGAAAUUUUUACUAGAAUUUUUAGGUUGAAGAAGAGGAGGAGAACUCAAGGAAAGUGUAUCAAUGGCUGAAUUUUAGUUCAUUCUGCACAUCACUGGUUUUUAAUUCGGUUUGAACUCUUCAAAAGGAAUUAAGAGGGCAGUUGGUUUUCACUCGAAAUCAGGAAGUCUCUGGUGUUUCUUGUAUUUCAGAGUGUAUCGGUGGAGUUAGAAUCUCUAUUUGGAACAAGUUAAAGAGGUCGUGUGCGCGCGAUUCUGGAAGUGGUUCUGUUUUGAGGGUUAUAUGUAUUUAUGCACGGGGAAUCAGAUUUAUAUGUCUUCAGGCCGAGAAGAAUUAAACCGAGCUUAUAGACCAAGGAUCUAGCCCAAGACUGUAGAGAUCGACUUCCCGGUGCCUGAUAGACUGCCUUAGUCUGCGGAAGCUUCAUUAUCGAUUGCCAGUACGUGUUUUGAGUUGGGCAUAAAGUCUGUUGUGUUGUGAUGUAUUCACACCCUUGUAUGUUAUAGAUACUCCACAGUUUGUAUAAGCUUUAGGAGCUGUAGUUGUGUAAAUUUUGUUGGUUAUAUUUUGAUUAAGGUGUCUUUAGGUUUACUCGUGAAAUCGGUAAAUUCUGAGGUACAUUUCAUGUAUGUGUUUGACUAGCCUAGGAUCCGCUGUGUUUUGUGGCAUGUACAAUAGUUUAUAUACUAGAUUGGCAAGUUCAUCACAUGAAAGUUUUAAGCAGAGUCGACAGAUACAGGUACAGAAAAGCAUUGUUCGUCGGCUUCACACCAUCUUUCGGUCUAAGGUAGCAGGUAGUCCGGGAGGGGGUGUGACAUAUGAAAUCACUUUGCUACAUUUGGAUAGUUGUAAAGAGGCUCGGUGGAAAUACAUUUGUUUCUUCGUGAAAAUUGUUUUGAGAACAAUAAGUUCUCAAUGCAAAACAUUGCGCUUAAAGGAUUAUAGAAGACAUGAUCUCGACCAAUGUUAAUGUCAUUAAAAAAAAAAUCAAUGCUAGUUUAUUAGGUUUGCGAGUCUACUUGUGUGUUAUGGACUUGUAAGUUGAUUAAGAAAAUAUGGCUUCUCGACCUCUUUAGUA
Cucumis melo (muskmelon) is the source of this 1264-nucleotide long non-coding RNA. RefSeq lists it as uncharacterized. The transcript is spliced from 5 exons. NCBI's taxonomy places the organism in Eukaryota, Viridiplantae, Streptophyta, Magnoliopsida, Cucurbitales, Cucurbitaceae. The record is from RefSeq and is a predicted model, not a curated record.